CCCAGUCGAGCCUAGCCGAGCCCAGCCGAGCCCUGCCUAGCGCAGCCGAGCCCAGCUCAGUAGAGCCGAGCCCAGUUGAGCCCAGCCGAGCAUAGCCCAGCCUACUCGAGCCCAGCCCAGUCGUGCGGACGCCAGCCGAGCGCAGUCAAGCACAGUCGAGCCCAGCCCUGUCGAACCGUGCCCACCUCAAUCCAGCCCAGUCGAGCCUAGCCGAGCCCAGCCCAAUCGAGCCUAGCCCUGUCGAGUCCAGCCCUGUGAGCCCAUCCCAGCCGAGCCCAGUUGAGCGCAGCUGAGCCCAGCCUUGUCGAGCCGCGCCCACAUCAAUCCAGCCCAGCCAAGCCCAGCAGAGCCCAGCCCAGUAGAGCUCAGCCUAGCCCAGCUGAGUCCAGCCCUGUCGAGCGGAGCCCAGCUGAGUCCAGCCCAGCCCAGCCCAGCCCACUCUAGCCCAGCCAAGCCCAGCCCAGCCCACUCUAGCCCAGCCAAGCCCAGUCAAGCUGAGCCCAGCCCAGUCAAGCCAAGCCCAGCUGAGCCCAGCCCAGCACAAUUGAGUCCAGCCCAGCCGAUCCCAGUCGAGCAGAGCCCAGCACAGUUGAGCCAAGCCCAGACGAGAACAGUUCAGCCCAGCACAGUCCAACCCAGCUCAGCCGAGCCCAGCCCAGAUGAGCCCAGCCGAGCCUAGCCGAGCCCAGUACAGUCCAGCCCAGCUCAGUCCAGCCCAGCUCAGCCCAGCCGACCCCAGCACAGUCAAACCCAGCCCUGUCAAGCCGAGCCCAGCUCAGUCCAGCCCAGUGGAGCCCAGCCCAGAACUCAGCCGAGCCCAGCUUAGUCGAGCCCACCACAGCCCAGCCCGGCCCAGCACAGUUGAGCCCAGCACAGCCGAGCGCAGCCCACUACAACGCAGCCCAGCCCAGUCGGGCCCAGCACAGCCCAGCCGAGCCCAGUCAAGCCGAGCCCAGCCCACUCGAGCCCAGCAGAGCCCAGCUCAGUCGAGCCGAGCUCAGCACAGCCAAGCCCAGCAGUCAAACCCAGCCGAGCCCAGUCCAGUACAGCGCACGGAGCCCAGCCGAGCCCUGCCCAGCGCAGUGGAGCCCAGCAGAACCCAGGGAAGCCGAGCCCAGCCGAGCCCAGUCGAGCCCAGCCGAGCCCAGCCGAGCCCAGCCCAGUCCAGCCCAACCCAGUCGAGCCGAGCCCACCUCAAUCCAGCCCAGUCGAGCCCAGCCGAGCCCAGCCCAGUCGAGCCUAGCCCAGUCGAGCCCACCCCAGUCCUGCCGAGCCCAGUCGAGCGCAGCUGAGCCCAGCCUUGUCGAGCCGAGCCCACCGCAAUCCAGGCCAGCCAAGCCCGGCCCAGCCGAGCCCAGCCGAGCCCAGCCGAGCCCAGCCGAGCCCAGCCGAGCCCAGCCGAGCCCAGCCGAGCCCAGCCGAGCCCAGGGGCGGGAGGGGAGGGAACUGGACGCGACAGGCGCAGAAGCGCGCGUCUGGUCCCGUCCAGGCCGUCCCGUUCCGUGGGGUCCCAGGCUUUUGGGUGAAAAGCAAAAGCGCCUGCAGACGUCACCCCACACCUGCAGGCAUCACCCCAGCAGGGCCGCGGGGAGGGCCGCACCCUGCAGCUGCUUCCAGGCCAGUCACGGCCACGGCCACGGCAGAGAGCGCC
This 1651-nucleotide long non-coding RNA is filed under the name Chinchilla lanigera (long-tailed chinchilla). RNAcentral's name for it is "lncRNA (ENSCLAG00000028752.1)". Lineage: Eukaryota; Metazoa; Chordata; Mammalia; Rodentia; Chinchillidae. The record is from RNAcentral.